Molecule: ribosomal RNA, 254 nt
Filed under: uncultured bacterium
Lineage: Bacteria
Description: partial 16S ribosomal RNA
Rfam family: Bacterial small subunit ribosomal RNA
Source: RNAcentral
UACGAAGGGGGCUAGCGUUGCUCGGAAUUACUGGGCGUAAAGGGCGCGUAGGCGGUCGUGACAAGUCACUUGUGAAAUCUCCGGGCUUAACUCGGAACGGUCAAGUGAUACUGUCGGACUAGAGUACAGAAGGGGCAGCUGGAAUUCUCGGUGUAGCGGUGAAAUGCGUAGAUAUCGAGAGGAACACCUGCGGCGAAGGCGGGUUGCUGGGCUGAUACUGACGCUGAGGCGCGAAAGCCAGGGGAGCGAACGGG